This 204-nucleotide long non-coding RNA is filed under the name Lathyrus oleraceus (garden pea). RNAcentral describes it as "Pisum sativum (pea) long non-coding RNA (PSAT_LNC031595)". The record is from RNAcentral. Lineage: Eukaryota; Viridiplantae; Streptophyta; Magnoliopsida; Fabales; Fabaceae.
UACAAAAUAUUUCAUUCACUUGAACAACUCUAUAGCAAUUAUUUUCUCUUCUCCUUCCUAUUUUUAUUUUUUUUGAAAGGAGUAUGUAUUGACAUGUAUUGGAAUAUUACAAACAUAAUUCCUUCUUUUUCUUCCUUUUAUCCUUCUAUUUUUUCAUUCCUUUUUCUUUCUUUUCUAUUUUCUUUUUCUAUUUUUUUUCUUUUU